AUGAACGCUGGCGGCGUGCCUAAUACAUGCAAGUCGAGCGAACAGAUGAGGAGCUUGCUGCUCUGACGUUAGCGGCGGACGGGUGAGUAACACGUGGAUAACCUACCUAUAAGACUGGGAUAACUUCGGGAAACCGGAGCUAAUACCGGAUAAUAUAUUGAACCGCAUGGUUCAAUAGUGAAAGACGGUUUUGCUGUCACUUAUAGAUGGAUCCGCGCCGCAUUAGCUAGUUGGUAAGGUAACGGCUUACCAAGGCAACGAUGCGUAGCCGACCUGAGAGGGUGAUCGGCCACACUGGAACUGAGACACGGUCCAGACUCCUACGGGAGGCAGCAGUAGGGAAUCUUCCGCAAUGGGCGAAAGCCUGACGGAGCAACGCCGCGUGAGUGAUGAAGGUCUUCGGAUCGUAAAACUCUGUUAUUAGGGAAGAACAAAUGUGUAAGUAACUAUGCACGUCUUGACGGUACCUAAUCAGAAAGCCACGGCUAACUACGUG
RNAcentral lists this ribosomal RNA (496 nucleotides) under uncultured bacterium. RNAcentral's name for it is "partial 16S ribosomal RNA". It matches the Rfam family "Bacterial small subunit ribosomal RNA", at positions 29 to 507 of the family's 1533-position model. The record is from RNAcentral.